This 72-nucleotide transfer RNA is filed under the name Camelus bactrianus (Bactrian camel). It matches the Rfam family "tRNA". From Rfam's summary of the family: Transfer RNA (tRNA) molecules are approximately 80 nucleotides in length. Their secondary structure includes four short double-helical elements and three loops (D, anti-codon, and T loops). The record is from Rfam by way of RNAcentral. RNAcentral also lists the same sequence under 3 other names. Lineage: Eukaryota; Metazoa; Chordata; Mammalia; Artiodactyla; Camelidae.
GAGGGUAUAGCUCAGUGGUAGAGCACAUGCUUAGCAUGCACAAGGUCCUGGGUUCAAUCCCCAGUGCCUCCA